AUGGCGUCGUCGCUGGACGCGCCCAACCUUGACGAUUACCUCACCGCGGACUCGCUCCCGCAGGAACCUCCCAGGAGUCUCACCCUGCGCGAUCUGCUGGACAUCUCGCCGGUGCUCACCGAGGCGGCGGGCGCCAUCGUCGAUGAUUCGUUCACACGUUGCUUUAAGUCAAAUUCUCCGGAGCCAUGGAACUGGAACAUCUAUUUGUUCCCAUUAUGGUGCUUGGGAGUAGUCAUAAGAUAUGGACUACUGUUUCCGCUAAGGUUCUUAACACUUAUACUAGGAUGGAUGGCCUUCUUUACUGCCUUUUUUCCCGUGCGUUUCCUAAUGAACGGGAAAAAUAGGCUAAAAAGUAAAAUAGAGAGAAAGCUGGUUGAAAUGAUGUGCAGUGUUUUUGUUGCUUCUUGGACGGGAGUGAUCAAGUACCAUGGACCACGCCCAAGCUCACGACCUUAUCAGGUAUUUGUUGCAAACCAUACAUCGAUGAUAGAUUUUAUUAUUCUGGAGCAGAUGACAGCAUUUGCUGUCAUCAUGCAAAAGCAUCCUGGAUGGGUUGGAUUUAUUCAGAAGACUAUUCUGGAAAGUGUGGGUUGCAUCUGGUUUAACCGUAAUGAUCUCAAGGAUCGUGAAGUAGUUGGAAGAAAGUUACGUGAUCAUGUUCAGCAUCCAGACAACAAUCCUCUCUUGAUUUUCCCAGAAGGAACUUGUGUUAAUAAUCAGUACACUGUGAUGUUCAAGAAGGGUGCUUUUGAGCUUGGCUGUGCUGUAUGUCCAAUAGCUAUCAAAUAUAAUAAAAUAUUUGUUGACGCCUUCUGGAAUAGUAAGAAGCAAUCUUUUACAAUGCAUUUGGUUCGUCUUAUGACAUCAUGGGCUGUUGUUUGUGAUGUUUGGUUCUUGGAACCUCAGUAUCUCAGGGAAGGGGAGACAGCGAUAGAAUUUACUGAAAGAGUGAGGGACAUGAUAGCUGCUCGGGCUGGUCUUAAGAAGGUUCCAUGGGAUGGCUAUCUGAAACAUAACCGCCCUAGCCCCAAACAUACCGAGGAAAAGCAGCGCAUGUUUGCUGAAUCUGUGUUGAGGAGACUAGAGGAAAACUAA
This 1095-nucleotide ribosomal RNA is filed under the name Triticum aestivum (bread wheat). RNAcentral describes it as "partial small subunit ribosomal RNA". Lineage: Eukaryota; Viridiplantae; Streptophyta; Magnoliopsida; Poales; Poaceae. The record is from RNAcentral.